AGCUUUGUGCAGUGGCAGUAUCAUAGCCAAUGAGGUUUAUCCGAGGCAUGAUUAUUGCUAAUUGAAAAUUUUCCUAAUACCCUGCCAUGAAGACUUGAAAUAUAGUUGGCAUUGGCAAUUUUUGAGAGUCUCUAUGGAGA
Molecule: small nuclear RNA, 140 nt
Organism: Delphinapterus leucas (beluga whale)
Lineage: Eukaryota; Metazoa; Chordata; Mammalia; Artiodactyla; Monodontidae
Gene: U4
Rfam family: U4 spliceosomal RNA
About the family: U4 small nuclear RNA (U4 snRNA) is a component of the major U2-dependent spliceosome. The structure of U4 snRNA from yeast and human has been reported.
Source: Ensembl